CCUACGGGAGGCAGCAGUAGGGAAUAUUGCGCAAUGGGCGAAAGCCUGACGCAGCGACGCCGCGUGAGCGAUGAAGGUCUUCGGAUCGUAAACCUCUGUCAGCAGGGAAGAACGGUCACUGUGGUAAUUAGUAGCGAAUUGACGGUACCUGCACAGAAAGCAACGGCUAACUACGUGCCAGCAGCCGCGGUAAUACGGAGGGUGCGAGCGUUAAUCGGAAUUAUUGGGCGUAAAGCGAUCGUAGGCGGUAUGUUAAGUCAAGGGUGAAAUCCCCGGGCUCAACGUGGGAACCGCCUUGGAAACUGGCAAACUAGAGUGUGUGAGAGGAUAGUGGAAUUCCAGGUGUAGCGGUGAAAUGCGUAGAUAUAUGGAGGAACACCAGAGGCGAAGGCGACUAUCUGGCACAUAACUGACGCUGAGGAGCGAAAGCGUGGGUAGCAAACAGGAUUAGAUACCCGUGUAGUC
This 465-nucleotide ribosomal RNA is filed under the name uncultured bacterium. RNAcentral's name for it is "partial 16S ribosomal RNA". It matches the Rfam family "Bacterial small subunit ribosomal RNA", at positions 338 to 795 of the family's 1533-position model. The record is from RNAcentral.